AGGGCUUCCACUGGUAGUCACGA
This 23-nucleotide microRNA is filed under the name Heligmosomoides polygyrus. RNAcentral describes it as "hpo-miR-10094-5p". The record is from miRBase by way of RNAcentral. Lineage: Eukaryota; Metazoa; Nematoda; Chromadorea; Rhabditida; Heligmosomidae.